CCCUUAGAUGUUCUGGGCUGCACGCGCGCUACACUGAUGCGCUCAACGAGUUUAUGACCUUGCCCGGAAGGGUUGGGUAAUCUUUUCAAAACGCAUCGUGAUGGGGAUAGAUUAUUGCAAUUAUUAAUCUUCAACGAGGAAUUCCUAGUAAGCGCGAGUCAUCAGCUCGUGCUGAUUACGUCCCUGCCCUUUGUACACACCGCCCGUCGCCCCUACCGAUUGAGUGAUCCGGUGAAUAAUUCGGACUGCAGCAAUGUUCAGCUCCUGAAUGUUGCAGCGGAAAGUUUAGUGAACCUUAUCACUUAGAGGAAGGAGAAGUCGUAACA
This 326-nucleotide ribosomal RNA is filed under the name uncultured eukaryote. Its description in RNAcentral is "partial 18S ribosomal RNA". It matches the Rfam family "Eukaryotic small subunit ribosomal RNA", at positions 1470 to 1796 of the family's 1831-position model. The record is from RNAcentral.